Camponotus floridanus (Florida carpenter ant) is the source of this 714-nucleotide long non-coding RNA. RefSeq lists it as uncharacterized. NCBI's taxonomy places the organism in Eukaryota, Metazoa, Arthropoda, Insecta, Hymenoptera, Formicidae. The transcript is spliced from 4 exons. The record is from RefSeq and is a predicted model, not a curated record.
UAUUGCUUGUCAGUCAUUCACAUUUAUUAAAAAUAGUCACUUUAUUAAAUAAUGUGAGAAACUCUAUAUUUUUUUGCGAAUAGACCUGAAGAUGAAUUAUGAAAGAGUGUGACAAGUAUCAGUAAUGCAGGAAGACGCAGAGGUAGAGCAAGAAGAGUAGUGAAAAGAGAGAGCUCCUAAAUAAGGAGCAAAUUAUUGGCAUGGGAAAAAUUCCAAUACAAUUUCCUGGUCUAAACACUCCUGUGUUUAGAGGAAAAGAAUUAAUUCAACAGCAAAAAUUGCUUGUAAAUCUUGAAAGAAAGCAAAAACUUAUGGAAUUACCACAAAGUCAAACCAGACCAAUGCAAAUCAAAUUAUCGCCAUUGGAAUAUGGUUGGACGAGUGUUACAAUGGAUGGCAGAAGCAUUGAAUCAGAUCUUAUUGGAAAAGAUACAUUUGAAAGUUUUGAAACCUGGAUUUUGGAAAAAAAAUGAUAACUUGUAUGACCGGUAAUUUAGCACGUAAGACUAGAAUCAGUUCAUUUAUAGUAACUGGAAAUGGAAAUGGAUUAGCUAGAUUUGCGUUAUCAAAAGCCAAAGCAUCCCUAAAGACGGUUAAAAAUAGGGCUGGUCAAAGACUAAUGUAUAUUCCUACAUAUAAGGAAUACACUGAUAACAUCUGUAUAAUAAAAAAAGCACCAAAAAUCUAAUGAUGAAAAAAGGAUAAAUAUUAUAG